This is a long non-coding RNA of Orcinus orca (killer whale), 1245 nucleotides long. RefSeq lists it as uncharacterized. The transcript is spliced from 2 exons. The record is from RefSeq and is a predicted model, not a curated record. Lineage: Eukaryota; Metazoa; Chordata; Mammalia; Artiodactyla; Delphinidae.
GAGCAGUUCUCAUGGCUAUUUACAAGUCGUUUGCAUUACUGUGAUAGAAGGCUACUCCCACUCCCCAAAUCUUCAGCAGCCUCCCAGACACAAAACAAAGAUACCAAGGAAGGAAUCACAAAGAUGAAUGGAACCACAGAUCGGAUGCCACCGAAGAAGGAAGCAGUGCCCUGGAAGAUCGGUGGUGCCUGGGAAAUCGCCUCCUGCCCCUCCUGUCCCGUUCCCCCUCUUAGCGAUGCUGCUGCUUUCUCCUUCCCUGAGAAACUGCCGCAGCCCCUCCUCAGAGAUCCAGCCUCUGUUCUUCAAGGCCCCCUAUCCUGCCUUCUAGGCUUCAGAUGACCUCAACCCCCUCCCUUUUCCCCAGGCUCCGGGGCUGGGGGGCAGCUUCUUCCUGUACCAUCUCUGUUCCUCCAGCCCUCCGAUCCCUGGGUAACCUAGUGGGGCUCGAGGCACCCAUGACCUGCGGGGGCCUCACCACUCAUCAAGCUCUCCCCUGCGGUUGACUGGGAUGAAGGGCCAGUGCAGCAAGUGCCCAGGGGAGCCGCAGCGGCUGCUGCCCUGAACUGUCGUGGAGGGGACGCUGGGGAUCAAGGCUGUGUGUGGGGUGACUCCACAGUGUCCCCGGGAGUGCACGGAGAAAAAACUGACAAGGUCCGAUUCCUUACCUCUCAGCUCAAGGCACAGUAUGCCAGCCAGAGCACUUCCAUGGCAGCCCUAAAAAUUCUCUUCCUCCUGUAACCUGCAGGGCUGACGGUACUGGAAAUCAAACACUACAAACACAAACGAAACCUGCAUCAUUGUGCGGGUUGCAGAAUCCCAAGGUCACCUGAAUUCCCAGCCUCUCCAUGUUUCUCGUGUGAAGGCUACGGCACUGGCUGGAGGAGUGGGACCCUGAAGCCUAGAAUCGGGACAUCGGGUUGCCCUCGGUGGAGGCUGACAGUCGGGAAGCCCCCGGUCCCCUGCAGCCUCCCUUGCGGGUGGAAGUAGCCUGCCCUCCCGUCUCUGGCAGGCUGCUGUUCUCUCCCUUGAGGACUGUGUCAUCACCUCACCUGGCGCAGAUGCCUUGCAAGGGGACACCCUCUGUCCUCCACACCUGUGCCACCCCACCCUGUUGCCAUUAGACCCAUAACUGGGGCCUAAUCACAGCAUGAUCCAGGGGGACAGACCAAAGCCUGACCCUAGAGGAAAGAGCGUCAUGCGUCAAUACAUAUUUUCCAUAAGGAUAUUAAAAAAAUAUUUUCCAGA